RNAcentral lists this ribosomal RNA (253 nucleotides) under uncultured prokaryote. RNAcentral describes it as "partial 16S ribosomal RNA". It matches the Rfam family "Bacterial small subunit ribosomal RNA", at positions 524 to 776 of the family's 1533-position model. The record is from RNAcentral.
UACGGAGGGUGCAAGCGUUGUUCGGAAUCACUGGGCGUAAAGCGCGUGUAGGCGGCCUCCUCAGUCUGGUGUGAAAGCCCGGGGCUCACCCCCGGAAGUGCAUUGGAUACUGGGAGGCUGGAGUACCGGAGAGGAGGGUGGAAUUCCUGGUGUAGCGGUGAAAUGCGUAGAUAUCAGGAGGAACACCGGUGGCGAAGGCGGCCCUCUGGACGGAUACUGACGCUGAGACGCGACAGCGUGGGGAGCAAACAGG